This 440-nucleotide ribosomal RNA is filed under the name uncultured bacterium. RNAcentral's name for it is "partial 16S ribosomal RNA". It matches the Rfam family "Bacterial small subunit ribosomal RNA", at positions 338 to 795 of the family's 1533-position model. The record is from RNAcentral.
CCUACGGGCUGCAGCAGUGGGGAAUAUUGCACAAUGGGGGAAACCCUGAUGCAGCGAAGCCGCGUGAGUGAAGACGUAUCUCGGUAUGUAAAGCUCUAUCAGCCGGGAAGAAAAUGACGGUACCUGAUUAAGAAGCGCCGGCUAACUACGUGACAGCAGCCGCGGGAAUACGUAGGGGGCAGGCGUUAUCCGGAUUUACUGGGGGUAAAGGGAGCGUAGACGGUGAGGCAAGUCCGAAGUGAAAGCGGGGGGCUCAACUCCGGGACUGCUUUUGAAACUGUGUGACUGGAGUGCAGGAGAGGUAAGCGGAAUUCGUGGUGUAGCGGUGAAAUGCGUAGAUAGCAGGAGGAACACCAGUGGCGAAGGCGGCUUACCGGACUGUAACUGACGUUGAGGCUCGAAAGCGUGGGGAGCAAACAGGAUUAGAUACCCGUGUAGUC